UAACAUACCUUUACCAGCAACAGACUUUGCUUCAGUGACCUGUCUUUCAAAUGACUACCAAGGAAGACAUCAGAUUUCCAAAGAGGAGCUCGAACAUGUUCUUUCUCUGAAAACCACCUUUACAGAAGCGGCAUCUAUUCUUUCAAUUUCAAGGCCAACUUUCUACAAGUUACUUCAAGACUAUAAUAUGCCAACGUCAAAAUAUAAGAGCAUCAGUGAUCAACAGUUGGAUAUUGAAUUGUCACAAAUAAAAACUGAACACCCAAAUGUUGGAGAAGUGAUGCUUAUGGGACAUCUCCGCUCCAAAAACAUUGUGGUUCAAAGACAACGAGUAAGAGAUUCACUCCGAAGGAUGGACCCAAUUGGUGUCCUAGCCAGGAGAAGAACAGCAAUAGCUAGGCGAGUAUACUCUGUCCCACAUCCAAAUUUCAUAUGGCAUGUAGACGGAAAUCAUAAGUUGAUUAGGUGGAAAUUGGUUGUUCAUGGUGCCAUAGAUGGCUACAGUAGGAUGUUAAUGUUUCUUCACUGCUCCAACAAUAAUCGUGCUGAAACUGUAAGAGAUCUCUUUACUGCAGCUGUUCGACAGUUUGGCAGACCACUGCACAUCAGGACUGAUCACGGAGGAGAGAACGUUCAGAUUUGGGAGGACAUGCAUGUGAGCAGGGGGAUGGCUCUGUCUUAACAGGAAGUUCUGUACACAACCAGAGGAUCGAGCGUUUUAAUCGAGACUUGAACAAAAACUGCAGCCAUAUUUAUGCACCCAUUUUUUAUGAACUGGAAUCCCUGGGUAUCCUAGACAUAGACAAUGCAACAGACCUAUUUUGUCUCCAUUAUGUCUUUCUACCCAGAAUCAACCGCACUUUGGAGGAAUUCAAAGCUGGAUUUAACAAUCACUCUAUGUCAUCUGAAGGAAAUAGAACACCAGUUCAGCUUUUUACUCUGGACAGUGAUUUGCCUCAUCUUCACAACCCAGAACUCUCAACAGCAGGGGUAGUUUUUUGUUCCUCAGCAAACUCUCAAAGUGUACUUUCCCCAUUGAAUGACAGGGAUUUGCAAGAACUGAAUGAUGCCAUUAACCCUCUUCAAAAUGACAACAACAAUGGCAAAACAUUGUUUCAGAGAACACAACAGUUUAUUUUUGAUAAACUUGUAAAUGUGUGAUCUCAGCAUAUAACAUGUACAAUUGUGUAACAUUAGUCUUAUUUCACUUUCAAAAGUACACUGUGAAACAAAUUUCAGGGCUCUACAGAUGUAUUGAUACAUAACUGUCUUCCACUACAUUGCAAUACAUUGUUCCUGAUUUUUAAAGUACCUAAAUGUGCAAAGUAAAACAACUCAGUGAAGUAAAACAA
Long non-coding RNA from Xyrauchen texanus (razorback sucker), 1352 nucleotides. RefSeq lists it as uncharacterized. Lineage: Eukaryota; Metazoa; Chordata; Actinopteri; Cypriniformes; Catostomidae. The transcript has 2 exons. The record is from RefSeq and is a predicted model, not a curated record.